UCAACUCGAUUUGAGCUUGUCAGAUUUGGAGACUACCUACGUCUGAAAAAGUAUAAGUAAUUUAUUUGUUGCACAGAUGUUCUCUCGUUUAGGCCUUCGUUCCCUUGUUGGAGGUGCGACAUGCUGCAGGAGACUCGUGAAGAUCACAAACGGACCGCCAGUUAUGAGCGUGAGGCGAUAUAGCGAAACUCCUCCACAACCGUUCGAUAACAUGCCCUUUAAAAUUAAGACUCGAUUUGCAGCAACAGUUUUCUUUGCCGUAUUCUUUGGACUCGGUUUAUGGGCACCCAUGAUUAUUGUGUGGUAUUCAAUGGCCAAAAAGUGUAUGUAAUUAAUACAAAUAUAGGGACAUUCUGUUUUCCAACUAUUUAUGGUUUAGUAGGUUUUAAAGUAGCUUUUACGACUUGUCUCAUUGUCAUUAUAUUUUUAUUAUGUAUUAAAAAGUAAUUGAGACCCA
Cydia splendana is the source of this 457-nucleotide long non-coding RNA. RefSeq lists it as uncharacterized. The record is from RefSeq and is a predicted model, not a curated record. The transcript has 2 exons. NCBI's taxonomy places the organism in Eukaryota, Metazoa, Arthropoda, Insecta, Lepidoptera, Tortricidae.